Molecule: long non-coding RNA, 372 nt
Filed under: Numida meleagris (helmeted guineafowl)
Lineage: Eukaryota; Metazoa; Chordata; Aves; Galliformes; Numididae
Description: lncRNA (ENSNMEG00000005130.1)
Source: RNAcentral
CUUGUAGAUCAUUCAUUAUUAAUUAAGAAGUUAAUUAAAUUAAUUUCAGUGAAACUGUUGAGACAGAGCAAUUCCUGUUGAGGUGAUAUGCCAAGAUAUGCCAGGAGAUGUCUGCUUCUUCAUUAAUUUUGUCUUGACUGAGGUUAAGUGAAUCCUUCUGAGGGUCUCUUAGCAAACCCAAGUCCUACAGUAAAGACACGCUGACAGCAAUUUAUAUUGCUGUUGAAAUAUUUUUUGGUGGUGACCAGAACUACAGAAGUACAUACUGUUGGAGAUUUCCUGAACUCCUUGGUGGGCUCAGACUGUGUGUGGAAGACUCUGUGACAGAAAAGUUCUGCUGAAAAAGUCUGUGAUUUCUGCAGCAUACAGUCU